GACGAACGCUGGCGGCGUGCUUAACACAUGCAAGUCGAACGGAAAGGCCCUGCUUUUGUUGGGUGCUCGAGUGGCGAACGGGUGAGUAACACGUGAGUAACCUGCCCUUGACUUUGGGAUAACUUCAGGAAACUGGUGCUAAUACCGGAUAGGAGCUCCUGCUGCAUGGUGGGGGUUGGAAAGUUUCGGCGGUUGGGGAUGGACUCGCGGCUUAUCAGCUUGUUGGUGGGGUAGUGGCUUACCAAGGCUUUGACGGGUAGCCGGCCUGAGAGGGUGACCGGACACAUUGGGACUGAGAUACGGCCCAGACUCCUACGGGAGGCAGCAGUGGGGAAUAUUGCACAAUGGGCGGAAGCCUGAUGCAGCAACGCCGCGUGCGGGAUGACGGCCUUCGGGUUGUAAACCGCUUUCGCCUGUGACGAAGCGUGAGUGACGGUAAUGGGUAAAGAAGCACCGGCUAACUACGUG
RNAcentral lists this ribosomal RNA (468 nucleotides) under uncultured bacterium. RNAcentral describes it as "partial 16S ribosomal RNA". It matches the Rfam family "Bacterial small subunit ribosomal RNA", at positions 28 to 507 of the family's 1533-position model. The record is from RNAcentral.